This 437-nucleotide ribosomal RNA is filed under the name Camelus bactrianus (Bactrian camel). RNAcentral describes it as "partial 12S ribosomal RNA". It matches the Rfam family "Bacterial small subunit ribosomal RNA", at positions 779 to 1405 of the family's 1533-position model. Lineage: Eukaryota; Metazoa; Chordata; Mammalia; Artiodactyla; Camelidae. The record is from RNAcentral.
UAGAUACCCACUAUGCUCAGCCUUAAACCUAAGUGAUUACAACAACAAAAUCACUCGCCAGAGUACUACUAGCAACAGCUUAAAACUCAAAGGACUUGGCGGUGCUUCAUACCCCCUAGAGGAGCCUGUUCUAUAAUCGAUAAACCCCGAUCAACCUCACCAACCCUUGCUAAUUCAGUCUAUAUACCGCCAUCUCCAGCAAACCCCUAUAGGGAUCAAUAGUAAGCUUAACUAUUCAAACAUAAAAACGUUAGGUCAAGGUGUAACCGAUGGGAUGGGAAGAAAUGGGCUACAUUUUCUUGUCUUAAGAAAACUUCAAAAUCCUUACGAAAGCCCCCAUGAAACUGAGGGCCCAAGGAGGAUUUAGUAGUAAAUCAAGAAUAGAGUGCUUGGUUGAACUAGGCCAUGGAGCACGCACACACCGCCCGUCACCCUAU